CUACGGGUGGCAGCAGUAGGGAAUCUUAGACAAUGGGGGAAGCCCUGAUCUAGCCAUGCCGCGUGAGUGAUGAAGGCCUUAGGGUUGUAAAGCUCUUUCGCUGGGGAAGAUAAUGACGGUACCCAGUAAAGAAACCCCGGCUAACUCCGUGCCAGCAGCCGCGGUAAUACGGAGGGGGUUAGCGUUGUUCGGAAUUACUGGGCGUAAAGCGCGCGUAGGCGGGCUAUUAAGUCAGGGGUGAAAUCCCGGGGCUCAACCCCGGAACUGCCUUUGAUACUGGUAGUCUUGAGUUCGGGAGAGGUGGGUGGAAUUCCGAGUGUAGAGGUGAAAUUCGUAGAUAUUCGGAGGAACAUCAGUGGCGAAGGCGACUCACUGGCUCGAUACUGACGCUAAGGUGCGAAAGUGUGGGGAGCAAACAGGAUUAGAUACCCCCGUAGUC
This 439-nucleotide ribosomal RNA is filed under the name uncultured bacterium. RNAcentral describes it as "partial 16S ribosomal RNA". It matches the Rfam family "Bacterial small subunit ribosomal RNA", at positions 339 to 795 of the family's 1533-position model. The record is from RNAcentral.